GACGAACGCUGGCGGCGUGCUUAACACAUGCAAGUCGAACGGAAAGGCCCUGCUUUUGUGGGGUGCUCGAGUGGCGAACGGGUGAGUAACACGUGAGUAACCUGCCCUUGACUUUGGGAUAACUUCAGGAAACUGGGGCUAAUACCGGAUAGGAGCUCCUGCUGCAUGGUGGGGGUUGGAAAGCUUCGGCGGUUGGGGAUGGACUCGCGGCUUAUCAGCUUGUUGGUGGGGUAGUGGCUUACCAAGGCUUUGACGGGUAGCCGGCCUGAGAGGGUGACCGGCCACAUUGGGACUGAGAUACGGCCCAGACUCCUACGGGAGGCAGCAGUGGGGAAUAUUGCACAAUGGGCGGAAGCCUGAUGCAGCAACGCCGCGUGCGGGAUGACGGCCUUCGGGUUGUAAACCGCUUUCGCCUGUGACGAAGCGUGAGUGACGGUAAUGGGUAAAGAAGCACCUGCUAACUACGUG
Molecule: ribosomal RNA, 468 nt
Filed under: uncultured bacterium
Lineage: Bacteria
Description: partial 16S ribosomal RNA
Rfam family: Bacterial small subunit ribosomal RNA
Source: RNAcentral